GACGAACGCUGGCGGCGUGCUUAACACAUGCAAGUCGAACGGAAAGGCCCUGCUUUUGUGGGGUGCUCGAGUGGCGAACGGGUGAGUAACACGUGAGUAACCUGCCCUUGACUUUGGGAUAACUUCAGGAAACUGGGGCUAAUACCGGAUAGGAGCUCCUGCUGCAUGGUGGGGGUUGGAAAGUUUCGGCGGUUGGGGAUGGACUCGCGGCUUAUCAGCUUGUUGGUGGGGUAGUGGCUUACCAAGGCUUUGACGGGUAGCCGGCCUGAGAGGGUGACCGGCAACAUUGGGACUGAGAUACGGCCCAGACGCCUACGGGAGGCAGCAGUGGGGAAUAUUGCACAAUGGGCGGAAGCCUGAUGCAGCAACGCCGCGUGCGGGAUGACGGCCUUCGGGUUGUAAACCGCUUUCGCCUGUGACGAAGAGUGAGUGACGGUAAUGGGUAAAGAAGCACCGGCUAACUACGUG
RNAcentral lists this ribosomal RNA (468 nucleotides) under uncultured bacterium. RNAcentral's name for it is "partial 16S ribosomal RNA". It matches the Rfam family "Bacterial small subunit ribosomal RNA", at positions 28 to 507 of the family's 1533-position model. The record is from RNAcentral.